UUAAUUAAAUUGGGUUUUCUUAUUUUUAAUUAAUUGAACUAUUAUUAGUUUGAUUAAUUUAUUUAAAGGAUAAUUUUUAUAAUAAUAUUAAAUUAUUAUUAAGUGCAUAUUUUAAGUAAUUACUUAUCAUAUGCUAAGCAUGACAUGACAUUUCAUUUGCAUCAUGAAAUAAAAAGUAUUUAUGAUUUAAUUGGUUUUAUUUAUAAUUCCAAUUAUUAAAGAAAGAUGAGUAAGAAUAUUGUUGGUGUUCUUAACUCAAGAGAAAUGUUUUUAAUUAUUUAUUCAUUAAAAACCCGGCUAAGUGAAUCAUAGAAUGUUAAGCACUACACCAUGACUUAAGAUUAGAUUCAAGGAGACCUAUUAAGAAUAGAAUUUCUUGUAGGCUUUGUGGACCAAGGGGAUUAGCACUGUUUUCCCAAGACAGGUUAUGUGAUUAUGAUCUUCAGGCUUUGCCUAUCCAGGUUGAGCAGUUGAUGGAAUGGAAUGAUGUUGAGCGGGUGUUCCUUUGACAUUUCAAGAAAUGUAACCUUGAGUAUACAUCUUCAUAUGUAUAUCUCACACGUUUUCCGCUGCAAAACACUUUGAUUAAGAUAGCUCUAUGAUAUGAAGUUGUGAUACGUGUUAUUGGGUAACCACCUUAAUCAGUUCUCAAUUAUGUGUAUCCAAAUAAUCAUAUAUGAUCCUAGCAUUUUAUCUAUGAGUGACAUUUCCAUAUACUUUAAUGUUAAGUAAUUGUCCAUUUCCAUUUCU
Salvia miltiorrhiza (redroot sage) is the source of this 750-nucleotide long non-coding RNA. RefSeq lists it as uncharacterized. Lineage: Eukaryota; Viridiplantae; Streptophyta; Magnoliopsida; Lamiales; Lamiaceae. The record is from RefSeq and is a predicted model, not a curated record. The transcript has 2 exons.